UGUGAGUUUACCUUGGAAAAGUCACAUAAAUCCCAGAGACUUGAUUUUCUGAUUUGUAACAGCUCACACAGUCUGUUGUUGCAGCUCAUAAUUGGUUUUUCAAGUGCAAGUUGUAGGCCUUUAAUUUGGAUGCUUUUGUGACUGAGUUAUGUUUCUUCAUUCUACAAUAUCAACAUAAGACGGUGCCUAAGUAUAUGUAAACAGAUGAUGAAGUCUCUUGCAAUUUUUCUGAUCUCCAUCAAGAACCGAAGGGACAACUGCACAUUUUCCAAUGAAACGUAAUUCAUUCAGGGAUUUUAACCAUUUUAUCUUGUCUGUAAAAUGAAAAACCAAGAUCAAAAGUGUACAGCCAUUCUGACAAAAAAAAUGAGUAGGAAGAAGAUUUGUAAAAUACACUAUUUAUUGUGGCUAUGUCAAAGGAAACAUUCUCUAGGCUGUUGAACCUCACUUUCAACCAAGAAGAUCUGCCUCUGUGAACAGACUUAAUUCUGUCUGCUAGUUGGGAGGACAUAAAAUAUUAUUGUAGGUAUUCAUGCCAUAAUUUAAGAGAUUUUGUGGUUAA
RNAcentral lists this long non-coding RNA (562 nucleotides) under Homo sapiens (human). RNAcentral describes it as "HSALNT0375138". The record is from RNAcentral. Lineage: Eukaryota; Metazoa; Chordata; Mammalia; Primates; Hominidae.